This 434-nucleotide ribosomal RNA is filed under the name uncultured Saccharofermentans sp. RNAcentral's name for it is "partial 16S ribosomal RNA". It matches the Rfam family "Bacterial small subunit ribosomal RNA", at positions 341 to 792 of the family's 1533-position model. Lineage: Bacteria; Bacillati; Bacillota; Clostridia; Eubacteriales; Oscillospiraceae. The record is from RNAcentral.
ACGGGAGGCAGCAGUGGGGAAUAUUGGGCAAUGGGCGCAAGCCUGACCCAGCAAUGCCGCGUGAAGGAAGAAGGCUUUCGGGUUGUAAACUUCUUUUAAGUGGGACGAUAAUGACGGUACCACUUGAAUAAGCUCCGGCUAACUACGUGCCAGCAGCCGCGGUAAUACGUAGGGAGCAAGCGUUAUCCGGAUUUACUGGGUGUAAAGGGCGUGUAGGCGGUUUGGCAAGUCAGAAGUGAAGUUCCCGGGCUUAACUUGGGCGCUGCUUCUGAAACUGCUUAACUUGAGUACUGGAGAGGAUAGUGGAAUUCCUAGUGUAGCGGUAAAAUGCGCAGAUAUUAGGAGGAACACCGGUGGCGAAGGCGGCUAUCUGGACAGUAACUGACGCUGAGGCGCGAAAGCACGGGGAGCAAACAGGAUUAGAUACCCUGGUA